This 452-nucleotide ribosomal RNA is filed under the name uncultured bacterium. RNAcentral describes it as "bacterial SSU rRNA". It matches the Rfam family "Bacterial small subunit ribosomal RNA", at positions 340 to 786 of the family's 1533-position model. The record is from RNAcentral.
UACGGGAGGCAGCAGUGGGGAAUAUUGCACAAUGGGCGCAGGCCUGAUGCAGCCAUGCCGCGUGUAUGAAGAAGGCCUUCGGGUUGUAAAGUACUUUCAGUCGUGAGGAAGGUGUUAAGGUUAAUAACCUUAGCAAUUGACGUUAGCGACAGAAGAAGCACCGGCUAACUCCGUGCCAGCAGCCGCGGUAAUACGGAGGGUGCGAGCGUUAAUCGGAAUUACUGGGCGUAAAGGGCACGCAGGCGGUUAAUUAAGUUGGAUGUGAAAUCCCCGGGCUUAACCUGGGAAUGGCAUUCAAGCUGGUUAGCUAGAGUCUUGUAGAGGGGGUAGAAUUCCAUGUGUAGCGGUGAAAUGCGUAGAGAUGUGGAGGAAUACCGGUGGCGAAGGCGGCCCCUGGACAAAGACUGACGCUCAUGUGCGAAAGCGUGGGGAGCAAACAGGGAUUAGAUACC